AUGCAAGUCGAGCGGAGUUUACUCGCUGUGAAGUCUUCGGAUGGAACUUGAGUAAACUUAGCGGCGGACGGGUGAGUAACACGUGAGCAACCUACCUUGAAGAGUGGGAUAACAGUUCGAAACGGCUGCUAAUACCGCAUGAAGUGUCGAUAUGGCAUCAUAAUGACACCAAAGAUUUAUCGCUCUGAGAUGGGCUCGCGCCUGAUUAGCUAGUUGGUGAGGUAAUGGCUCACCAAGGCGAUGAUCAGUAGCCGGACUGAGAGGUUGAUCGGCCACAUUGGAACUGAGACACGGUCCAGACUCCUACGGGAGGCAGCAGUGGGGAAUAUUGCACAAUGGAGGAAACUCUGAUGCAGCAACGCCGCGUGAGUGAUGAAGGUCUUCGGAUUGUAAAGCUCUGUCUUCUGGGACGAUAAUGACGGUACCAGAGGAGGAAGCCACGGCUAACUACGUGCCAGCAGCCGCAGUAA
Molecule: ribosomal RNA, 470 nt
Filed under: uncultured bacterium
Lineage: Bacteria
Description: partial 16S ribosomal RNA
Rfam family: Bacterial small subunit ribosomal RNA
Source: RNAcentral